AGAAUGAUGAAGUGUGAGGAAUGGAACAGGUGUUCUCAACUGUUUCAACUUAGGCAGCCUAUGCUUAUGUCAGUGUAGAGCAUACCUGACAAGAAGAACUUUGUGGUCACAAUUGUUUGCUUGUAUCUAUUUUUUUGCACAAUCUAAUACAAAAUUAGGUUAAAAGAGUCAAAAAUCUGGAAUUGGGAUACACAGCUAAAUGUGA
This 205-nucleotide long non-coding RNA is filed under the name Capsicum annuum. RNAcentral's name for it is "long non-coding RNA (CANN_LNC007173)". The record is from RNAcentral. Lineage: Eukaryota; Viridiplantae; Streptophyta; Magnoliopsida; Solanales; Solanaceae.